RNAcentral lists this transfer RNA (67 nucleotides) under Marmota monax (woodchuck). RNAcentral's name for it is "tRNA.Ala". The record is from RNAcentral. Lineage: Eukaryota; Metazoa; Chordata; Mammalia; Rodentia; Sciuridae.
GGUUGUGGCUCAGUGGUACAGUGCUUGCCUAGCAUGAGUGAGGUUCUGGGUUCAAUCCUCAGAAUCA